GAAAAAUUGGAUAUGUGGGACUCAAUUGAAUCUGGAUCCUCCAAGAUGUUCAUAAUAUGGGUAGACAAGUGGAAACAGUAGCCAAGCCUGAAGAAAAGAAACUGCUAUCCCUCACCAUUCAUCACCUUAGGAAGACAGACACCAAAUAUUGCUUGGGGGAAAUUCCACAGCAACCACCCCAUCUCCACCCAAGUAUAGGUCAGACAACAGGUCAACUGACUGCACACAAGUUGCUGCUUCUUGGUCAAUUGCUCUCUUUGAUAAUGUGGGUACUUUUUCCCAGAAGUUAAGAUGAACGGUAAAUAUGACUUCUGUUU
This 317-nucleotide long non-coding RNA is filed under the name Androctonus crassicauda. The record is from RNAcentral. Lineage: Eukaryota; Metazoa; Arthropoda; Arachnida; Scorpiones; Buthidae.